RNAcentral lists this ribosomal RNA (252 nucleotides) under uncultured bacterium. RNAcentral describes it as "partial 16S ribosomal RNA". It matches the Rfam family "Bacterial small subunit ribosomal RNA", at positions 524 to 776 of the family's 1533-position model. The record is from RNAcentral.
UACGUAGGGGGCAAGCGUUGUUCGGAAUACUGGGCGUAAAGGGCGCGUAGGCGGCACAGCAAGUCGGAAGUGAAAGCCCGGGGCUCAACCCCGGAAUGUCUUUCGAAACUGCUGAGCUAGAGUGCAGAAGAGGCAACUGGAAUUCCCAGUGUAGCGGUGAAAUGCGUAGAUAUUGGGAAGAACACCUGAGGCGAAGGCGGGUUGCUGGGCUGACACUGACGCUGAGGCGCGAAAGCCAGGGGAGCGAACGGG